RNAcentral lists this ribosomal RNA (484 nucleotides) under uncultured bacterium. Its description in RNAcentral is "partial 16S ribosomal RNA". It matches the Rfam family "Bacterial small subunit ribosomal RNA", at positions 29 to 507 of the family's 1533-position model. The record is from RNAcentral.
AUUGAACGCUGGCGGCAUGCUUUACACAUGCAAGCCGAACGGCAGCGCGCGCCUCGGCCUGGCGGCGAGUGGCGCACGGGUGUGUAAUACAUCGGAACGUGCCCAGUUGGGGGGUAUCGCCCGGCGAAAGCCGGAUUAAUACCGCACACGACCUGAGGGAGAAAGCGGGGGAGUAUCGGACCUCGCGCUUUUGGAGCGCCCGAUGGCAGAUUAGCUAGUUGGUGGGGUAAAGGCCUACCAAGGCGACGAUCUGUAGCUGGUCUGAGAGGACGACCAGCCACACUGGGACUGAGACACGGCCCAGACUCCUACGGGAGGCAGCAGUGGGGAAUUUUGGACAAUGGGCGAAAGCCUGAUCCAGCAAUGCCGCGUGUAUGAAGAAGGCCUUCGGGUUGUAAACCACUUUUGUAGGGAACGAAAAGGACUGGGCCAAUACCGCGGGUCGAUGACGGUACCCGAAGAAUAAGCACCGGCUAACUACGUG